UGGGCCCUGUGAGGAGAGAACAAGAG
RNAcentral lists this non-coding RNA (26 nucleotides) under Rattus norvegicus (Norway rat). The record is from RNAcentral. Lineage: Eukaryota; Metazoa; Chordata; Mammalia; Rodentia; Muridae.